CCUACGGGAGGCUGCAGUGGGGAAUUUUGCGCAAUGCUCGUAAGAGUGACGCAGCGACGCCGCGUGAAUGACGAAGGCCUUCGGGUCGUAAAGUUCUUUCGACCGGGAAGCAAAUGCCUAUAAGUAACUGUGUCUGUAUUGACGUUACCUGUAUAAGCAGCCCCGGCUAACUCCGGUCCAGCAGCCGCUGUAAUACGGUGGGGUCGCGCGUGGGUCUGAUGGGUUGGGCGUAAAGGGCACGUAGGCUGUGUUGUAAGUCAUUAGUCAAAGCCUAGCGCUCAACUGUAGUACGGAUAGUGAUACUAUAAGACUAGAGUAUGAGAGAGGAAGGCAGAAUGCCUGGUGUAGCGGUGAAAUGCAUAGAGAUCA
This 369-nucleotide ribosomal RNA is filed under the name uncultured bacterium. Its description in RNAcentral is "partial 16S ribosomal RNA". It matches the Rfam family "Bacterial small subunit ribosomal RNA", at positions 338 to 699 of the family's 1533-position model. The record is from RNAcentral.